GUCCGACAGUUCCGCUGCAGGGACAAGCCAGUACUUCACUGCAGAGACAAUGGCCUGGGCUACUUGCACUUGAUUAUGAUAUGCCUCUUCAAUCACAAGAGCAAACACAGGAGCCUCAUGGUGCAUCAGAUAUGCCAGUGGAAGAUGUGUCUCUUCAGUCACAAGAACAACCACAGGAACCCUGCGUUCUUUCGGAGCCACCUGGCACACCUGACACACCAGUUUCCCCACCUUCACCUGUUCCAAGACCAUCUCAUGUUCCUAUACCAUCUACCAAUACCUCGACAGGUGUUUUUUUUUUUUUUUUGCCACAGCAUUUUCAUGGAAUUCCUGCUCGCUUUUGUAUUUUUUUUUUUAGAUCCUUGCGGCAGUGUGAGUGAUAC
This is a long non-coding RNA of Ornithodoros turicata, 383 nucleotides long. RefSeq lists it as uncharacterized. The transcript has 4 exons. The record is from RefSeq and is a predicted model, not a curated record. NCBI's taxonomy places the organism in Eukaryota, Metazoa, Arthropoda, Arachnida, Ixodida, Argasidae.